GAACGCUAGCUACAGGCUUAACACAUGCAAGUCGAGGGGCAGCAUGGUCUUAGCUUGCUAAGGCCGAUGGCGACCGGCGCACGGGUGAGUAACGCGUAUCCAACCUGCCUUACACUCUUGGACAGCCUUCUGAAAGGGAGAUUAAUACAAGAUGUUAUCAUGAGUAAGCAUUUUCGCAUGAUUAAAGGUUUACCGGUGUAAGAUGGGGAUGCGUUCCAUUAGAUAGUAGGCGGGGUAACGGCCCACCUAGUCUUCGAUGGAUAGGGGUUCUGAGAGGAAGGUCCCCCACAUUGGAACUGAGACACGGUCCAAACUCCUACGGGAGGCAGCAGUGAGGAAUAUUGGUCAAUGGACGAGAGUCUGAACCAGCCAAGUAGCGUGAAGGAUGAAGGUUCUAUGGAUUGUAAACUUCUUUUAUACGGGAAUAAACGAAUCCACGCGUGGAUUUUUGCAUGUACCGUAUGAAUAAGGAUCGGCUAACUCCGUGCCAGCAGCCGCGGUAAUACGGAGGAUCCGAGCGUUAUCCGGAUUUAUUGGGUUUAAAGGGAGCGUAGAUGGGUUGUUAAGUCAGUUGUGAAAGUUUGCGGCUCAACCGUAAAAUUGCAAUUGAUACUGGCAGUCUUGAGUACAGUUGAGGUAGGCGGAAUUCGUGGUGUAGCGGUGAAAUGCUUAGAUAUCACGAAGAACUCCGAUUGCGAAGGCAGCUUACUAACCUGUAACUGACAUUGAUGCUCGAAAGUGUGGGUAUCAAACAGGAUUAGAUACCCUGGUAGUCCACACGGUAAACGAUGAAUACUCGCUGUAGGCGAUAUACAGUCUGCGGCCAAGCGAAAGCAUUAAGUAUUCCACCUGGGGAGUACGCCGGCAACGGUGAAACUCAAAGGAAUUGACGGGGGCCCGCACAAGCGGAGGAACAUGUGGUUUAAUUCGAUGAUACGCGAGGAACCUUACCCGGGCUUAAAUUGCAACCGAAUAUGGCGGAAACGCUAUAGCUAGCAAUAGCGGUUGUGAAGGUGCUGCAUGGUUGUCGUCAGCUCGUGCCGUGAGGUGUCGGCUUAAGUGCCAUAACGAGCGCAACCCUUGCCGAUAGUUACUAACAGGUUAUGCUGAGGACUCUGUCGGGACUGCCAUCGUAAGAUGUGAGGAAGGUGGGGAUGACGUCAAAUCAGCACGGCCCUUACGUCCGGGGCUACACACGUGUUACAAUGGGGGGUACAGAGGGCUGCUACCACGCAAGUGGAUGCCAAUCCCAAAAACCUCUCUCAGUUCGGAUUGAAGUCUGCAACCCGACUUCAUGAAGCUGGAUUCGCUAGUAAUCGCGCAUCAGCCACGGCGCGGUGAAUACGUUCCCGGGCCUUGUACACACCGCCCGUCAAGCCAUGGGAGCCGGGGGUACCUGAAGUGCGUAACCGCAAGGAGCGCCCUAGGGUAAAACUGGUGACUGGGGC
This 1448-nucleotide ribosomal RNA is filed under the name uncultured organism. RNAcentral's name for it is "16S ribosomal RNA". It matches the Rfam family "Bacterial small subunit ribosomal RNA". The record is from RNAcentral.